AAAAACGGGAAGCAGGAAAAUACUAAGCGAAAAUGUAAGUGAGAAAAUCGGUAAGUGAGCGGUAAGCGAGGGGAAAAUGUAGGCGAGAAAAAACGGUAAGCGAGGAAAAACGGUCAGCGAAAAUUUGAAAAAACGGUACGCGAGAAAAACGUAAGCGAGGGUGAACAUUUUUGCUAAGUGGGAAGUUUUGGAAUAGGUAGGAAUAAGAUGAGCAGUUGAAUUCUGUCUUAAAAAGGGAAGAAUUGAUUUGUGCAAAAUUUAGCACGCAUUUUAAACGUGACAUUUGAAAGUCCAUGAACGUGCAGACUGACGUGAAUGUCAAACUGGAACGAUGUCAAUGUGAAAUGUCGAAUGUGCCGUUCGGAAUGAGUGGGGAAAAUUUGGCUGGAAAUUUG
Long non-coding RNA from Syngnathus acus (greater pipefish), 395 nucleotides. RefSeq lists it as uncharacterized. NCBI's taxonomy places the organism in Eukaryota, Metazoa, Chordata, Actinopteri, Syngnathiformes, Syngnathidae. The record is from RefSeq and is a predicted model, not a curated record. The transcript is spliced from 2 exons.